RNAcentral lists this ribosomal RNA (816 nucleotides) under uncultured archaeon. Its description in RNAcentral is "bacterial SSU rRNA". It matches the Rfam family "Archaeal small subunit ribosomal RNA", at positions 104 to 922 of the family's 1478-position model. The record is from RNAcentral.
UCAAUCUAACCUAUGGACGAGGAUAACCUCGGGAAACUGAGAAUAAUACUCGAUAGAUCAUUAUGCCUGGAACGGUUUAUGGUUCAAAUGAAUUUCGCCAUAGGGUGGGACUGCGGUCUAUCAGCUUGUUGGUGAGGUAAUGGCCCACCAAGGCUAUAACAGAUACGGGCUCUGAGAGGAGAAGCCCGGAGAUGGGUACUGAGACACGGACCCAGGCCCUAUGGGGCGCAGCAGGCGAGAAAACUUUGCAAUGUGCGAAAGCACGACAAGGUUAAUCCGAGUGGUUCCUGCUAAAGGAACCUUUUGUUAGUCAUAAUACCACUGAUGAAUAAGGGGUGGGCAAGUUCUGGUGUCAGCCGCCGCGGUAAAACCAGCACCUCAAGUGGUCAGGAGGAUUAUUGGGCCUAAAGCAUCCGUAGCCGGCUCUGUUAGUUUUCGGUUAAAUCUAUACGCUCAACGUAUGGGCUGCCGGGAAUACUGCAAAGCUAGGAAGUGGGAGAGGUAGACGGUACUCCGUAGGAAGGGGUAAAAUCCUUUGAUCUAUUGAUGACCACCUGUGGCGAAGGCGGUCUACCAGAACACGUUUGACGGUGAGGGAUGAAAGCUGGGGGAGCAAACCGGAUUAGAUACCCGGGUAGUCCCAGCUGUAAACUAUGCAAACUCAGUGAUGCAUUGGCUUGUGGCCAGUGCAGUGCCGCAGGGAAGCCGUUAAGUUUGCCGCCUGGGAAGUACGUACGCAAGUAUGAAACUUAAAGGAAUUGGCGGGGGAGCACCACAAGGGGUGAAGCCUGCGGUUCAAUUGGAGUCAACGCCGGA